UAUAGGUAAACUUGUGUAAUGGGGGUUUGUUGUACAGAUUAUUUCAUCACCCAGAUAUUAAACCUAGUACCCAUUAGUUAUUUUUCCUGACUCUCUCCCUCCUCCCACCCUUCACUUUCCAACAGACCCCAGCAUGUGUUGUUACCCUCUAUGUAUCCUUGGGUUUUCAUUAUUUAGCUCCCACUUCUAUAGACUAGUUUAAUUUAUUAUUACUUUUAAUUUAGUUUGUGAAUAAAAAGUUCAGGAGCGUAGUAGCUAAAUGAAAUACGUGUGAUAUUUUAAAUGAGGAAUUUAACAGAUUUUUAUCAGUGUGUUUUACAAGAUGGAUUAAAGUAAGUUUCAUUAACCACAUCCAGUUUAAUUCCUCAAUCUUUUAAGAAGAAAAUGCAUUAAUAGAGAUAUGUUUAGUGAUAUUUUAUUAUGGAUAUAGUCAGGCUAAAAAGAGAGACAUUCAUUACUCAAACAUACUCCUGAAAUUACUUUUAGCAAUUGGAAUAACUUUGUAUAUGCAAUAAUCAAUUUAGCUUCAAUAUUAUUCUUUCUUGGACUUGAUUUCAUUUCCAGCAAGUGGAAAGAAAAUGAAUAUACACACAGACAAAAUUUUAUUUUACUUGCUAUGGAAAUAUUUUUAUGUUAUAAAUGAGAGAUUACACCAAUAUCAAUCUUAAAUUGGGUUCAUAAUACAGUUUCUCAAGGAUAUGUUCUUGGUCAUCAUCUUGCCAAUCAUUAUACUCUCUCCCUCAUUCACUCAACUAACAGAACACUAUUGGUGCUAUGGAGUGUUGAGAUUUUCACUCAUGGGCCUCGGGAGAGUGUGGGAAACAAGACAGUAUGCUCAUUGCUGUAGCUGCUAUCUCUCAAAAAGGCAAAAUCUGUAUACUCAGGCCAGUUGUUCCUCUGGUUUUAAACUUUUAUUUCUAUUGGUAUUGUCUCAGUAUUGGCUCUGGAAGGAACCUGAUGCUAAGUUCGGCAUCCAGGGAAAGGCAUGGUAGAUCAUGCUUGAGUCAGGCAUGAUCUGCCACAGGUGGGGCAUUGACCUAUCCUCUGUGGUCACGGAAAUGAGAAAUGACAGUUAAUCAGGUGAAGACCAUGUGCAAUGGCAAAAGGGCCAUUUCUUAAAUAGAAAAUAGAGUUAUUCAAAUUAGAGAAGAGAUUGGGAAGGCUGCAAACAAAUGAUAACUGCGGUCUACCAGAAUUAUAGUCUAACAGAAAUUACAGAGGAGUUCAUGGUGUCUCAAAUUCCUGACAGAUACUAAUUUUAAGGAUUCAUGGAGGAGAUAUCAGAAUUCCCAAAUUAUCAGAGAAUCACAAAAUCAUAAAUUAUUCUUAAAUAUUUUCAGUGUUCUUUAUAUUCUACUCGUUAACAUGGAUAUCAAGAAUGCUUAAUAAAUUAUAUUUAAUAGUAUCUACAAAAAAUUAUAGUCUACAGGUAAUACCCAAAUUCUUGAAAGUUCCAGGAAACACUCAAGAUAGUGUUUGAUUAUUGCAACAUUGGCAUCUCUUAGCAGCAUUAGCCUCCUACACAUACUCAUAUGCAGAAUUGCCUAAUUAAGGUCAUAUUUUGCUUCCAAAACUUAUUUCUUGGAACACCACUCAUAGGUUUUUAUAAAAAAUGCUACCUGCACAAAUCUAUUACUAUUGGUUUUAUUCACACACAAAAAAAAUUGACUCGCUUUUAGCAGCAAAGCGGGCCUGGAUCCCACUCUUGUAAUAGUGCAAAGGCUGCAAGCAAAACUGACUAGAUUCUGACUGCGUCUCUGUUAGGUGAUCCUUUCCAGCUUCCCAGAAAGGGUGAGCUUAGCCUGUUAGUCCUGCCUGUUAGACUUCCUGUUUUUGCUUUUUAUUUGAUGUCAGUGAAUUUCUUGGUCCAUCAACCUCUCUAUAUUGAUAGCUAAGCUUACAAUAAUUUUUUAUAAUUUUCAAAUUUCUGGACUCAUAUUUUCAGGAUUGAAGAUUUGGAAGAAGAUUAGUUUCCUCGUUAAUGCAAGAGAGGGAUUCCCUCAUGGAAGCACUAUAUGAAGUUCUAAGAUUUCAUGCAAUUUAAUAGUAACAGAACUUUUUAAGAAACUGUUUGGAGGCAGCAUGUUGGGGACAUAGAGUCAAAAAGCGCACCUUGAACCACAUGUAAAAAUGAUGAUAAAAGGCAGGCACAUGUAUAUGUUGGUCCAUAUGAGCUCUGCUACCUAUUAUAGCAUUUGUCACAGAUUGCAUAUGCAAUAAAUGCUUAACUCGAGAAAGUUAAGUUCUAUCUGCCAAUAAUCUCACUGUUUAUAACAUACGUAUAUAUUCUAAAUAACCACAGAAAAUUGUCAAUUUGCACUUACAUAUCGAGAAAUUAAUUUUUAUUUCUUACUGGGUAAAGAAUAAUUAAAUUGUAUAUUAAACAUUGUUUUUAUCUCUGUUUUCUUUGUUUUACAUCACAUCAGCAAAGAUCUAGUUAAAUAACUCAGUCUCCAUUUGUUCAUAUAAAAAUUCAUUUUUUUCAAUCUAUGUUACAUCUGCCUUUAAUAUUUGCCAACUGAAUAAUCAAGAUCAUUUGAUUAAUAUUCUCCUUAUGUUUGAGGUCAGACCCAUGAAAUAUCACAAGAAACAGGGCGCGGUGAUGGAUAAAAGUUAUAAAAUAGAAAUGCAUUUCAAAAAGUACAAAGUCAGGUGGGUCAAGUUCCUUUUACAGCCUCCUAAUAUCAAGGUUAUUUCAUUAAUUGUUAAAAUGAUUGUACAAUACGGCAGAUUUAAAGAACAAUGAAGAAAUCUAUGCAGAGACUGCCAGCUGUCUUCCCUAUGGAAUUUUCCUCCAAACAACACCACUAAUUUCUAAUUGAUGUCAUGGCCAACUGAAAUGAAAGAUACAUUUCUCAUCUUUGCAUUGAGUAGUGGCAUGUGACUAAAAGGAUGAAAGUAGAACUAUUACAUAACAAUUCCUCCUGAGAAAUUUUCUACAGAGCUCCCGAAGUGUAUUGCUGCAUCAUCUACACUGCUGUUUGCAAUUAGCCAAUGUGAAGGCCAGAGUUUCAUGUUGGAUCAUAAGGGUGAGAUCUAUGAUGGCCACGAUAGAGAAGGAAGUAGAAAGUAGCUUGAUUCAUGGCUGACUUGAUUGCUUACAUGUGAAUAUUACUGUAAGAGUGAAAUAAACUUCUAGAUUUUAAGCCAC
This 3151-nucleotide long non-coding RNA is filed under the name Homo sapiens (human). Its description in RNAcentral is "HSALNT0325631". The record is from RNAcentral. Lineage: Eukaryota; Metazoa; Chordata; Mammalia; Primates; Hominidae.